This 80-nucleotide transfer RNA is filed under the name uncultured Clostridium sp. RNAcentral's name for it is "tRNA-Pro(tgg)". It matches the Rfam family "tRNA". Rfam says of the family: Transfer RNA (tRNA) molecules are approximately 80 nucleotides in length. Lineage: Bacteria; Bacillati; Bacillota; Clostridia; Eubacteriales; Clostridiaceae. The record is from RNAcentral.
UCGGGGUGUGGCUCAGCUUGGCUAGAGCGCCUGGUUUGGGACCAGGAGGUCGCAGGUUCGAAUCCUGUCACCCCGAUCCA